GCUAAACAUUAGACAGUCGAGACAGCAGCACAGAGAGCCCACACUCAUCCAAGACUGUUUUCCUGUUUUACUGGCAGUGUUGCUGUCCAAUAAAAUCAGUGGCACCUGGAUGUAAGUUAUGUCAUUGUACACGUGUAACACUUUCAAGGCCUGAAUGUUGCAUCAGUGUUUGUGAACAGGAGCUCUCUCUCUCAAAGCCAGAAACCAGAGAAGUUUACUCUGGGUGCCCUGGUUUCCUCUCAUACUCCAAACACAUGCAGCCAGCUGAAGUUUGGAGACUACAUAAGACAGGCCGACUCUACCACUGUACCUUUGUGAAGACGUGUACGUGGACAAUGAGGGUUGUUGUUGGUUUGCUGUUGUUGCUGCUGGCUCUGUGUGGGUCAGGGGCUCAGGGG
This is a long non-coding RNA of Epinephelus moara (kelp grouper), 398 nucleotides long. RefSeq lists it as uncharacterized. The transcript is spliced from 4 exons. The record is from RefSeq and is a predicted model, not a curated record. Lineage: Eukaryota; Metazoa; Chordata; Actinopteri; Perciformes; Serranidae.